CCUACGGGUGGCAGCAGUGGGGAAUAUUGGGCAAUGGGCGCAAGCCUGACCCAGCAACGCCGCGUGAAGGAAGAAGGCUUUCGGGUUGUAAACUUCUUUUUUCAGGGACGAAGCAAGUGACGGUACCUGACGAAUAAGCCACGGCUAACUACGUGCCAGCAGCAGCGGUAAUACGGAGGUGGCAAGCGUUAUCCGGAUUUACUGGGUGUAAAGGGCGUGUAGGCGGGGAAGUAAGUCAGAUGUGAAAUCCACGGGCUCAACCUGUGGCUUGCAUUUGAAACUGUUUUUCUUGAGUACUGGAGAGGCAGGCGGAAUUCCUGGUGUAGCGGUGAAAUGCGUAGAUAUUAGGAAGAACACCGAUGGCGAAGGCAGUCUACUAAACAGCAACUGACGCUGAGGCGCGAAAGCGUGGGGAGCAAACAGGAUUAGAUACCCUGGUAGUC
RNAcentral lists this ribosomal RNA (443 nucleotides) under uncultured bacterium. Its description in RNAcentral is "partial 16S ribosomal RNA". It matches the Rfam family "Bacterial small subunit ribosomal RNA", at positions 338 to 795 of the family's 1533-position model. The record is from RNAcentral.